AAGUAUCAAAGCUUUUGCGGUACAGGAUGGACCCGCGUCUGAUUAGCUAGUUGGUGAGGUAACGGCUCACCAAGGCGACGAUCAGUAGCCGACCUGAGAGGGUGAUCGGCCACAUUGGAACUGAGACACGGUCCAAACUCCUACGGGAGGCAGCAGUGGGGAAUAUUGCAAGAUGGGCGAAAGCCUGAUGCAGCAACGCCGCGUGAUUAAAGGGGGCCUUCGGGUCGUAAAGCUCUGUCCUCAAGGAAGGAAUGA
RNAcentral lists this ribosomal RNA (255 nucleotides) under uncultured bacterium. RNAcentral describes it as "partial 16S ribosomal RNA". It matches the Rfam family "Bacterial small subunit ribosomal RNA", at positions 196 to 453 of the family's 1533-position model. The record is from RNAcentral.